GGACCAACAUAUGGAAGAAAAAUGAUGACUGGUUACCUGGCCUCAAAAGGAAUCCGAGCAUCAGAGGGGCGUGUUGGUUGUUGGUUGUGUCCAUAUCAUGCAGAUCGGUAUCGUAGAUAAAGGAAUUUAAAUCCAGUGCCAUACAGUGCAGAGUACAUGGGUCACAAAUUGCACAUUGACCAAAACGAGAAACUGGUGAUGUAUGGGGUGACCCACGUCCUUGCCGUGGACGGAUUCUCCAGCAACAUUAAUCAUAUUAUAGAAAGGAUGUGGCCAGAGGUAAACAACAGGGUAAACUACCCUCUGAAAGGCGCACUCAACCACCUUGUUGACCAGGAGGAACUAAACCUCGAAGACAACAUCACACGAUAUUGUGUGUCCACUCUUACCUGUCAGGUAGCCAACAUUGGACUUGACCGGAUGGUGCAGUCCUGGAAUGCACACAGAAUC
Molecule: long non-coding RNA, 450 nt
Organism: Gymnodraco acuticeps
Lineage: Eukaryota; Metazoa; Chordata; Actinopteri; Perciformes; Bathydraconidae
Exons: 3
Source: RefSeq, a predicted model, not a curated record